Molecule: ribosomal RNA, 177 nt
Filed under: uncultured Pseudomonas sp.
Lineage: Bacteria; Pseudomonadati; Pseudomonadota; Gammaproteobacteria; Pseudomonadales; Pseudomonadaceae
Description: partial 16S ribosomal RNA
Rfam family: Bacterial small subunit ribosomal RNA
Source: RNAcentral
GGCCUGGGCUACACACGUGCUACAAUGGUCGGUACAAAGGGUUGCCAAGCCGCGAGGUGGAGCUAAUCCCAUAAAACCGAUCGUAGUCCGGAUCGCAGUCUGCAACUCGACUGCGUGAAGUCGGAAUCGCUAGUAAUCGUGAAUCAGAAUGUCACGGUGAAUACGUUCCCGGGCCUU